This is a long non-coding RNA of Scylla paramamosain (green mud crab), 2501 nucleotides long. RefSeq lists it as uncharacterized. Lineage: Eukaryota; Metazoa; Arthropoda; Malacostraca; Decapoda; Portunidae. The record is from RefSeq and is a predicted model, not a curated record. The transcript has 16 exons.
GAGUCCAGACCGAGACCCAGAGAAAUGUAAACAAACGCACCAGUCAGACUUGAUAUAGGAGUGAAUUUGUUGCUUUUUAAAGCGGCAGUCGGUCUGUACAUGUGUGAGGUGGCGAGGGGUGUCGCCAGGGGGCGGCUAGUAGCGUCUGCCACCAGGGAAAUAUGUAAAAACAUAAAAAAGACGCUUCUCAAGAAAGAGAGGGGCAGUCGGUCUGUACAUGCGUGAGGUGGCGAGAGGCGUGUCCAGGGGGCGGCUAGUAGCGUGUGCCACCGUGGAAAUAUGUACAGACAUAAAGAAGACGCCCUCAAGAAAGGCCUGAGUCCAGACCGAGACCCAGAGAAAUGUAAACAAACGCACCAGUCAGACUUGAUAUAGGAGUGAAUUUGUUGCUUUUUAAAGCGGCAGUCGGUCUGUACAUGUGUGAGGUGGCGAGGGGUGUCGCCAGGGGGCGGCUAGUAGCGUCUGCCACCAGGGAAAUAUGUAAAAACAUAAAAAAGACGCUUCUCAAGAAAGAGAGGGGCAGUCGGUCUGUACAUGCGUGAGGUGGCGAGAGGCGUGUCCAGGGGGCGGCUAGUAGCGUGUGCCACCGUGGAAAUAUGUACAGACAUAAAGAAGACGCCCUCAAGAAAGGCCUGAGUCCAGACCGAGACCCAGAGAAAUGUAAACAAACGCACCAGUCAGACUUGAUAUAGGAGUGAAUUUGUUGCUUUUUAAAGCGGCAGUCGGUCUGUACAUGUGUGAGGUGGCGAGGGGUGUCGCCAGGGGGCGGCUAGUAGCGUCUGCCACCAGGGAAAUAUGUAAAAACAUAAAAAAGACGCUUCUCAAGAAAGAGAGGGGCAGUCGGUCUGUACAUGCGUGAGGUGGCGAGAGGCGUGUCCAGGGGGCGGCUAGUAGCGUGUGCCACCGUGGAAAUAUGUACAGACAUAAAGAAGACGCCCUCAAGAAAGGCCUGAGUCCAGACCGAGACCCAGAGAAAUGUAAACAAACGCACCAGUCAGACUUGAUAUAGGAGUGAAUUUGUUGCUUUUUAAAGCGGCAGUCGGUCUGUACAUGUGUGAGGUGGCGAGGGGUGUCGCCAGGGGGCGGCUAGUAGCGUCUGCCACCAGGGAAAUAUGUAAAAACAUAAAAAAGACGCUUCUCAAGAAAGAGAGGGGCAGUCGGUCUGUACAUGCGUGAGGUGGCGAGAGGCGUGUCCAGGGGGCGGCUAGUAGCGUGUGCCACCGUGGAAAUAUGUACAGACAUAAAGAAGACGCCCUCAAGAAAGGCCUGAGUCCAGACCGAGACCCAGAGAAAUGUAAACAAACGCACCAGUCAGACUUGAUAUAGGAGUGAAUUUGUUGCUUUUUAAAGCGGCAGUCGGUCUGUACAUGUGUGAGGUGGCGAGGGGUGUCGCCAGGGGGCGGCUAGUAGCGUCUGCCACCAGGGAAAUAUGUAAAAACAUAAAAAAGACGCUUCUCAAGAAAGAGAGGGGCAGUCGGUCUGUACAUGCGUGAGGUGGCGAGAGGCGUGUCCAGGGGGCGGCUAGUAGCGUGUGCCACCGUGGAAAUAUGUACAGACAUAAAGAAGACGCCCUCAAGAAAGGCCUGAGUCCAGACCGAGACCCAGAGAAAUGUAAACAAACGCACCAGUCAGACUUGAUAUAGGAGUGAAUUUGUUGCUUUUUAAAGCGGCAGUCGGUCUGUACAUGUGUGAGGUGGCGAGGGGUGUCGCCAGGGGGCGGCUAGUAGCGUCUGCCACCAGGGAAAUAUGUAAAAACAUAAAAAAGACGCUUCUCAAGAAAGAGAGGGGCAGUCGGUCUGUACAUGCGUGAGGUGGCGAGAGGCGUGUCCAGGGGGCGGCUAGUAGCGUGUGCCACCGUGGAAAUAUGUACAGACAUAAAGAAGACGCCCUCAAGAAAGGCCUGAGUCCAGACCGAGACCCAGAGAAAUGUAAACAAACGCACCAGUCAGACUUGAUAUAGGAGUGAAUUUGUUGCUUUUUAAAGCGGCAGUCGGUCUGUACAUGUGUGAGGUGGCGAGGGGUGUCGCCAGGGGGCGGCUAGUAGCGUCUGCCACCAGGGAAAUAUGUAAAAACAUAAAAAAGACGCUUCUCAAGAAAGAGAGGGGCAGUCGGUCUGUACAUGCGUGAGGUGGCGAGAGGCGUGUCCAGGGGGCGGCUAGUAGCGUGUGCCACCGUGGAAAUAUGUACAGACAUAAAGAAGACGCCCUCAAGAAAGGCCUGAGUCCAGACCGAGACCCAGAGAAAUGUAAACAAACGCACCAGUCAGACUUGAUAUAGGAGUGAAUUUGUUGCUUUUUAAAGCGGCAGUCGGUCUGUACAUGUGUGAGGUGGCGAGGGGUGUCGCCAGGGGGCGGCUAGUAGCGUCUGCCACCAGGGAAAUAUGUAAAAACAUAAAAAAGACGCUUCUCAAGAAAGAGAGGGGCAGUCGGUCUGUACAUGCGUGAGGUGGCGAGAGGCGUGUCCAGGGGGCGGCUAGUAGCGUGUGCCACCGUGGAAAAUAU